GCUUACGGCCAUACCACCCUGAGCACGCCCGAUCUCGUCCGAUCUCGGAAGCUAAGCAGGGUCGGGCCUGGUUAGUACUUGGAUGGGAGACCGCCUGGGAAUACCAGGUGCUGUAAGCUU
This 120-nucleotide ribosomal RNA is filed under the name Tinca tinca (tench). Lineage: Eukaryota; Metazoa; Chordata; Actinopteri; Cypriniformes; Tincidae. The record is from RNAcentral.